Mercenaria mercenaria is the source of this 653-nucleotide long non-coding RNA. RefSeq lists it as uncharacterized. The transcript has 2 exons. The record is from RefSeq and is a predicted model, not a curated record. NCBI's taxonomy places the organism in Eukaryota, Metazoa, Mollusca, Bivalvia, Venerida, Veneridae.
AACUGACUAGUCAGUUUUUUCCCCGGGGGAAAGAAUUGACUUGUCAGUUUUUUCCCCGGAGAAAGAACUGACUGGGGGAAAAACUGGGCUGUUACACCGGCACAAAUUGCUUUCUUUUCUGCUCUUUGAUUUCUUUGCUGCUUCUUUUUUUCUAGAGUAAAACUUAUUUUUCUCACAUUAAAAAUAAAAAUUUGAAAUUUUGCAAAUCGAAAGGAAAAAAUCGUCAUUUAUGACAUACACUGCACUACACUCACAAAAAAGCCAUCACAAAUACUCCGUGCCUGUGGGCACGGUGAAUAACGGGCCGUGCUCGAUACAUAAUUACCUUUAUGAUUCUAGUGUAAACAGUAUCGAUAUACAGACCAAUAAUUUUUGUUAGAACUGUAGAUUUGUCUCAUCAAGUUUAAAUGACUGGGGUGAGGCUAUGAUGAACAUUACCUAUAUGCGGUAUAUAGACAUGUAUAUCUUGAUAUAAUUAACAAAUAAUGAAGGCUUGCGAGUGGUAUCACAGUUGUAAGAUUAAAUACAUAUUACCGAACAAGGUGACCUAUAUAGAAAUAUUAAUGAUCCGCCAGGUAUAAUUUCCAAAAUGAAAAUUUACCCGAGGGGUGGUCUCAAACGCUUUACAUGAUCAUUAAAAUUAUGAUAUAUCU